CCGGCGACCGGCGCACGGGUGAGUAACACGUAUGCAACCUGGCCGUCACAGGUGGAUAACCGGAAGAAAUUCCGACUAAUACAGCAUAACACUCCUGAGGGACAUCCCUCGGGAGUCAAAGGAGGCAACUCCGGUGACGGAUGGGCAUGCGGCGCAUUAGGUAGUUGGUAGGGUAACGGCCUACCAAGCCGACGAUGCGUAGGGGUUCUGAGAGGAAGGUCCCCCACAUUGGAACUGAGACACGGUCCAAACUCCUACGGGAGGCAGCAG
Molecule: ribosomal RNA, 270 nt
Filed under: uncultured bacterium
Lineage: Bacteria
Description: partial 16S ribosomal RNA
Rfam family: Bacterial small subunit ribosomal RNA
Source: RNAcentral